Molecule: ribosomal RNA, 498 nt
Filed under: uncultured bacterium
Lineage: Bacteria
Description: partial 16S ribosomal RNA
Rfam family: Bacterial small subunit ribosomal RNA
Source: RNAcentral
AUUGAACGCUGGCGGCAUGCCUUACACAUGCAAGUCGAACGGUAACAGGUCUUCGGAUGCUGACGAGUGGCGAACGGGUGAGUAAUACAUCGGAACGUGCCUAGUUGUGGGGGAUAACUACUCGAAAGAGUGGCUAAUACCGCAUGAGAUCUACGGAUGAAAGCAGGGGAUCGCAAGACCUUGUGCUACUAGAGCGGCCGAUGGCAGAUUAGGUAGUUGGUGGGAUAAAAGCUUACCAAGCCGACGAUCUGUAGCUGGUCUGAGAGGACGAUCAGCCACACUGGGACGGAGACACGGCCCAGACUCCUACGGGAGGCAGCAGUGGGGAAUUUUGGACAAUGGGCGCAAGCCUGAUCCAGCAAUGCCGCGUGCAGGAUGAAGGCCUUCGGGUUGUAAACUGCUUUUGUACGGAACGAAAAGCCCCGGGUUAAUACCCUGGGGUCAUGACGGUACCGUAAGAAUAAGCACCGGCUAACUACGUGCCAGCAGCCGCAGUAA